CCUCUGGUAGCUCAGUUGGUAGAGCGGUGGACUGUAGUUGGUUAAUAAACAGUUAUCCAUAGGUCGCUGGUUCAAAUCCGGCCCGGAGGA
This 90-nucleotide transfer RNA is filed under the name Rhodnius prolixus. Its description in RNAcentral is "tRNA tRNA-Tyr". It matches the Rfam family "tRNA". From Rfam's summary of the family: Transfer RNA (tRNA) molecules are approximately 80 nucleotides in length. Their secondary structure includes four short double-helical elements and three loops (D, anti-codon, and T loops). The record is from Rfam by way of RNAcentral. Lineage: Eukaryota; Metazoa; Arthropoda; Insecta; Hemiptera; Reduviidae.